UGUGGGUUCGCCUCCACUUGCCUUGAUUUCUGAAGAAUAUUUUUUAUCAUCCAUUAUCUAAUUGUGUUUAGUAAAGUGCGCCUUGGAGGGAAGGAGUACCGCCCCCAACUGGCCGUUUGCCUUGUCCUCUUAGAUGCAUUCCCCAACGCCUCUCCCAUCACUCAAUCCCGGGGAUGAGGUGCUCUCGCCCUUCCUGCUUCCUGGGCUCUGACUGGUCCAAAGCCAUCAAGCGCUCUUGCUCGGUGAUUGGUCUGUUAACCUAAGUCUAAGCCAAUCAGCACGCAGCUCCCUCUAGAAAGUCGCUCAGGGCUGAUCCAAUCAGUGCAAAGCUUAGGUCCCUCGCUGUCCUGUAAACAGGAAAAAGAACACCGACCCCAGGGGAGGCUAAGUACCAUUUGAGAGUGUGGGGAAGGCAGCCUGAGGUUGAAACCAAAGCACAGAGAAGAGCAGAGCGUCCAGAAAUGCGGAGAACCGGCACCAAGGUCCUGACCAAACUCUGGACUUUUCAGUUGUGUGAGCAUUUGAGAACCACUGGACUAGAGGAAGAUCUGAAACUACUGACUGAGGAGCGAAUGAGCCUGGUGAUCCAAGAGCAGGACUGAAGUCCAAGUGAAGAUGAAGAUGAAUUGUGCAUCCCAGAUGUGCUGGGAGCGGCCAUGGAAGCGAUGGCCGUGGAAGGGGUAGAGUGCUAUGGAUUCAGAAACGAACUCUCCAGAACUGACAUCUCCUUCAACCGGUGUCCGUCUCUUCAACCUGAUGUCCCUAGUCUCCUGGUCAGUGCCAGGAGGGUGCAUUUCGGCUGCAACCUCAUUGAGGGCUCUACACGUUUUUGAAUGCCCUCUUCUCUCACGGAAGUUGGGUAUUUAUUCUUUCCUGUUGCCAACCCUAAGAUGUCAUGCUUACUUUCUCUCAAGUUUCUUUAUAUUUCUGAAUUUCUAGAUUUCCUUUUUGGCAGAAUUUAGCCAAGAAUAACAGGGUUCCUUGUGAGCCUGUGAGUAACCCAAGCAAAGAAUUUAUCAAGCCUCUCUGAUGUGCCCGGGCAAAAGCUGUGGCAUAGCUCAGGAAAGACAGGUGCAAUAAUAAAGAUGUUGAUAAAAUUC
Molecule: long non-coding RNA, 1100 nt
Organism: Acinonyx jubatus (cheetah)
Lineage: Eukaryota; Metazoa; Chordata; Mammalia; Carnivora; Felidae
Exons: 2
Source: RefSeq, a predicted model, not a curated record